UACGGGGGGAGCAAGCGUUGUUCGGAAUCACUGGGCGUAAAGGGAGUCUAGGCGGUUUGGUAAGUGGGAUGUGAAAUGCCCGGGCUCACCCCGGGACCUGCAUCCCAAACUGCUGAGCUUGAGUACAGGAGAGGGUGGGGGAAUUCCAGGUGUAGCGGUGAAAUGCGUAGAUAUCUGGAGGAAUACCAAUGGCGAAGGCAGUGCUCUGGGCUAACACUGACGCUGAGGUGCGAAAGCGUGGGUAGCGAACGGG
RNAcentral lists this ribosomal RNA (253 nucleotides) under uncultured bacterium. RNAcentral's name for it is "partial 16S ribosomal RNA". It matches the Rfam family "Bacterial small subunit ribosomal RNA", at positions 524 to 776 of the family's 1533-position model. The record is from RNAcentral.